Molecule: long non-coding RNA, 3702 nt
Filed under: Marmota monax (woodchuck)
Lineage: Eukaryota; Metazoa; Chordata; Mammalia; Rodentia; Sciuridae
Source: RNAcentral
AAAUUUGUUUUUCAUGUAUCAUCCUCAAUCACUAAUCCAGUUUUUAUGAAUUGUUAUUUAGUUGGAAUUUCAGAGUAAAAUCUCUAAAACUGCCUAGAACUAAAUGUCACUUGGAGAUGAUGUUGAUAUUCAGGUAUUGUACGUUAGAUUAAUUUCUCGGUUUGAUGAUUACAAAGAACACUUGAGACAAAAUUUACUACUGGGCUAGUUAGACUAGAGAAUCUUAUGGAAGAGCAUUAUUUUAAAUCAUAUUAGAUGUGAAGAGGUGCUAAGUCUGGAAUUAAAUGACAGUAAAUAUUCCAGAUGUGGGAAAGUAGAGAAGGCAGAGAGAAAUAAAACAAUAUUUCAUAUUGUAUAUGUGUCAAUUAAAUGAUUAACUUGAUAUUCUGAACUUUAACAUAGAUUUACCUGAGAUAAAGCUGACCUACUGGUAAUAAUGUUAUAUUGUAAAAAUCAUUUUUUUCUGUGAAAGUGUUUUAAAUAUUUGACUUGCCAAGUGUAAUUUCUUUUUCUUUUCCUUUUUUUCAGGUUUAAAAAUAACAUAAGUGACUUAAAUAAUAAAUAUUGUGGAUUUAUAUAUAAUUCCUAUGUUUAUUAUGCUUCCUGCUCUUUUAUGAAAAACUUUAUGUGUGAGAAGAUGGCCAAUUCAGUGAAGACUGAAAGUAUAUUAAUGAGUGAAGAUCCAGAUGGAAGAAUGUAGUCAGUGCAAUUAUUUUGCUUCAGCUAAUAUCCUGAAAUUGAUAGGACCUUUGGGCAGCAUGCAUCACCUAGAUAACACAAGUUAGAUAAAGAUGAUGUAACUAAAUUGCUGCCUCUCUCCUAGUAUUUAUGCCAUCAGACUUUCUUCUUUUGCCUCAUUUGCUGAGUGUAAGGAAUCUAAAAUCCUAUCUUCUCACGUACAUACAGUCCAGAUAUUGUUCAGCAUAAAGACAGUUUUUCUGGUAAUAUAGGAAUCUGAAACUAAUAUUUUCCUGCUUUUCCAGAAAUAAACCAGGGAAAUUUCUGUCUUCUAGAAAAUCAGAGAAAAUUAAUAUAGGAAUAAAUAUAACAAUACAAUAUGAAGAAUUUUGAUUUAUCCUAGUAAUGUGGAUUAAUUAAGCAUGUAAAAAUGAUAGAGAAAAAACCAUAUAGUUUUAAUAUGUGUACAAAAAGUAUUUGUUGAUAUACAAUAUGCAAUUAUAGAAAAUCUUCUCAGAAAACUAGAAGAAUAUUUAAAGAGGGUUGAAAUAAAACCAAACUUUGAACAAACAAAAAAAACUCUAAUAAUUUAAUAAACCCUGUUGUCUAUUAGAGGUCCUCAGUGGAAUAAAGCAAGGAAAAGAAGUAUAAAAUAAUGGAAGAGAGAGAAAUAAAACAUUUUUAUUUGUAAAUAAUAUAAUUAUGCAUAUAAAAACAAUGAUUUAUAAGCUAUUAGAGUAAAUAAUGUAUCAAGGUCAGUGGAUAAAAUCUUACCAUAUAAAAAUCAAUCAUAUUUUUAUGUAUUAUGUAUUCUGUUUGUAUUUGUAUGUAUUAUGUAUUAUCAUUGAACAAGUAGUGAUAAAAUUUUAAAUUUAAUAACACUUAUAAUGCCACACAAAAAUAUAAAAUAAUUAUCUAGUAAAAAUGUAGAAAACCUUCAUGUGCAAAAGUUUUGUGCAAUUUCCCCCUUUGUCUCCCUUUCCUAGGGAUCUCUAUAUCCAAUGACUGAUAAACAUUCCAGCACAGUAACCUUGUACACUUUCUCCAACAUGGUCCAUUUCAGUUUCAGAAGUUUACAGUCAAUUAUUUUAUUAAGAAUACAUCACUGAUCAAUUUCUCCCUUUGUCCAACUUUGCUUCUUUUCCUUCUGCCCAGGUAGGGUCCAGACACAUAUGUUCCAUAUUAAACCUGCAAGCUAACUUCUGUCAAGGGGUGUUUUGCAGAGAACCAAACCUGCAAAAAUAGGUAGCAAGAAUUAUCCAAGAAAACAGAUGCUAAGAUGUAAUUUGGGGCUUAAAUCACCAGCUGCCCACUAGCAAUGAGAAAUAAAUCACUGCUGUUAAAAAGAAAAGAUCACAAAGGCACAAACAUGGUAUAAUUGUUAAAAUCUUCACAAGUGGUGAAAACCUGGAAUGACAAACCAGUGGAGUCAAGAUUACUUUAGGAAAAUGUAUCAGAUAUUUGAGAAAUAUGGGUAGAAUAAAAACAAUAAGGAUAGUGGAAUUAGGCAUUUGUUGGCAAUCUCAAUUGACUCUUCAGAAAAAAUAACAGGGAAAUCUAAAAGUGAAUAAUCAAGGAAAAAAAGCUAAGUGUGAAUACUGAUAGGUAUUAAAUGGAAAGGUUCACAUUUCAUUCAAUUUGAAGGCAGAAAAAAUAGGGACUAGUCUUAGGACUUUGUAAUAAGACAGAGGGGACAGAAAUCCAAAGAAAGUUAAAAUUUUAAACUGGGAAAGCCUGUUUUGCCAGAAUCAGGGUCCUGAUUGAGAAAGCAUAAAAGGAAGACAUCUUUGGAUGAUAACUCCCCAAAUCUUGAUUCACAUAUUUUUCUGAGACCUCAGAAGUGACCCACUUCUCCCAAUUAAAAGCUAACACACUCUCUUUGAUUAAAAUAUGGUAUAGGUUUCCAGUUAUAAGUCAAAUUGCAUGAGCUUCAUUCACCCAUUCUCCUGUCCACAGGGCAAAUAAAAAGAUAACCUGGCUAAACACAUGAGUUGUCUCAUAAAAAAAGAGAUUUUGCACCUAUCUAUUAUGUCGCAGCAAGAUAGAGAGCAUACAUCUGAUGCGACUUUCUAAAUGUUAGACCAGGUUGGUGGGGAAAGUGACACAAAAUUGAAUAAGGGAAUUUUACUAAUCUAGGACCACUUUCUUGGAAUAGUGAAUUUAGUAACCCAAAAAGGACUUUAAUAAAUGGUGCAAACACUCUGACAGGAAGCUUUCAAAAAAUGUAGAGAAAUAAAUGGCCCACACCAAAUUAAGAAGAAGUACCACAUUUGCUUUGGCAGGAAAAAAGAGAAUAAAAAUUUCAAAGAUGUGGGAAUAUUAGAGUGGGUACUAUCAUAAAAUAAUAGUUUUCUUCAGCCAAUCAAAGGACAAUAUUCCUUAGGAAGCAAUAAUAUGUAUGCUGGUAAGAGGGUCACAAUAUCCUUAAGAAGCUCACCAGUGAUUCCUUUGAUUGUCAGUGAUGGUAACAAUCGAAGUAAUUACAUAACUGAGUUAAUUGAUAGCAAAGUUGUUGAUAGUUCACUGAAACUGUAGAGUGCAAAUCAUUGUUCAUCUAGUCUAUGACAUCACAUUAAUAAGGCUGUACUAAUAAGAUUUUCAUUUUAUUCAGCAGAAACAUUGUUUUCCUCAUUAUAGAUAUUGUAUAUAUUUUAUUACAUUUAAUUAAUAUCUAUUUUUUUGGUUUGAGGAUGCUCAAAUAAAUGAUGUUGUGCUCAGUUUCAAAUUGCACUCUUCUACUUGUUCAUUACUGAUAUAUUGGAAAGGAAUUAACUUUUGUAUAUUAACCUUGUGUUGUGCAAUUUUAAUACUGUUGCUUAUGUGUUCCAUGAGUUAUUUUGUAUUUGUUUGUUUCCUUUUCUUGAUUCUCUUUGUAUUUUGUAUGUAAACAAUUAGGUGAUCUGCAAACAUUUUCAUUUAUUCCUUCCCAAUAAAUAUAUCUUUUAUUUAUUUUUCUUGUCUUAUUGUAUUAUCUAGUAUUUGCAGUAUAAUGUUGCAAAGGAAUAAUUAGAAGGAACAUCUUUG